GUUUGAUCCUGGCUCAGGAUGAACGCUGGCGGCGUGCUUAACACAUGCAAGUCGAACGAACCUUCGGGUUAGUGGCGGACGGGUGAGUAACGCGUGAGAAUCUGCCCUCAGGAGGGGGAUAACGGCUGGAAACGGCCGCUAAUACCCCAUAUGCCGAGAGGUGAAACGAAUUUCGCCUGAGGAUGAGCUCGCGUCUGAUUAGCUAGUUGGUGGGGUAAGAGCCUACCAAGGCAUCGAUCAGUAGCUGGUCUGAGAGGAUGAUCAGCCACACUGGGACUGAGACACGGCCCAGACUCCUACGGGAGGCAGCAGUGGGGAAUUUUCCGCAAUGGGCGAAAGCCUGACGGAGCAACGCCGCGUGAGGGAUGAAGGCCUCUGGGCUGUAAACCUCUUUUAUCAAGGAAGAAGAUCUGACGGUACUUGAUGAAUAAGCCACGGCUAAUUCCGUGCCAGCAGCCGCGGUAAU
Molecule: ribosomal RNA, 466 nt
Filed under: uncultured bacterium
Lineage: Bacteria
Description: bacterial SSU rRNA
Rfam family: Bacterial small subunit ribosomal RNA
Source: RNAcentral